CCAAAGGCUCUUUUAAGAGCCACCCACAUGCGCUUCAAAAAGGCC
Non-coding RNA from Salmo salar (Atlantic salmon), 45 nucleotides. The record is from Rfam. NCBI's taxonomy places the organism in Eukaryota, Metazoa, Chordata, Actinopteri, Salmoniformes, Salmonidae.